GGUCCCACAAUGGACCAUCUGCAAGCUGAGGAGCAAGGAAGCCAGUCUGAGUCCCAAAUCUGAAGAACUUGGAGUCUGAUGUUUGAGGGUAAGAAGCAUCCAGCACAGGAGAAAGAUGUAGGCUGGGAGGCUAAGCCAGUUUAGUGUUUUCAUGUUCUUCUGCCUGCUUUUUUUUCUGGCCAUGCUGGUAGCUGAUUAGAUAGUGCCCACCCAGAUUAAGGGGGGGGGUCUGCCUUACCCAGUCCACUGACUCAAAUGUUAAUCUCCUUUAGAAACACCCUCACAGACACACCCAGGAUCAAUACUUUGCAUCCUUCAAUCCAAUCAAGUUGACAUUCAGUAUUAAACAUCACAAGGUUUGUUGAUUUUGUUUAUCUUUUCAAAAAACCAAUUUUUUGUUUUAUUAAUCUCUUGUGUUUUUAAAAAUUUCAAUCUCAGUUGUAUUUGCCCUGAUCUUUCUUAUUUCUUUUCUUCUACUAAUAUUGAGUUCAGUUUGCUCGUUUUUCCAGUUCUUUAAGAUUCAUCAUUAGGUGCACAUUAAGUUUUUCUGCUUUCUUGAUGUAGGUGCUUCUUGCUAUAAACUUUCUUCUUAGGACUGCUUUUGCUGUAUUCCAUAGGUGUAUGUGAUACUUUCAUUUGUUUUAAGAGAUUUUUAAGAAUUAUCUUGUUAAUUUUUUCAUUAACUCACUGGUCAUUCAGGACCAUAUUAUUUAAUUUCCAUGUGUUUUAUGGAAAUACUUGUGCAUGUUCAUUGAUAUUUGGGAACUGAAGAUUUAUUCUAAUCAUCACAUUCUGGGCUUGUUUGGACUUGUCCUUGUUGAGAAGGCUUUUCAUGUAUUCAAAGAGAAUUGAGUGUUGUGAUCUAAGUCUUUGGUCACUACAUCCGUAUCCACACUAGGGGUUGCUCCAAGCCCAGUACCUUAGUAAUUCUUACAGACUCCUAGAGGUGCUGCCUUGGUGGGCUUGAAUAAGAUCUAGAAAAAUUAUCUGGAUUACCAGGCAAAGUCUGUCAUUAUCUUUCCUCACUUUCCCCAAACAGAAAGAGUCUCUCCCUCUGUGCUGGGCUGACUGGAGCUGGGGGAGAGGUGAUGUGAGCAGUCCCUUGGACAUCAUAGCGGGGACUAUGCUGGGUCACACCUGAGGCCAGCACAGCACUGGGUCUCACCCAAAGCUUGUGGCAACUACUGCCGAGCUACAGCGGAUGCUGAUUUAAGGCUUAAGGGACGAUUGAUCAGCAAGUGGGGAAUGCUGCCAGUACCGGGUCCUUACCUUGAGAGUAGCAGGUUCCCUUCUGGCCCAAGCAGGUUUAGAAAUGCUGUCCAGGAGCCGGGCCCUAGAAUCAGAGGCUUUAAGAAUCUGCUUUGUGGUUUAUUUUACUGUGACUGAGCUGGCACCCAAGUUGCAAGACAAAGUCCUCUGUAUUCCUCCCUCUCCUUUCUGCAAGUGGAAAAAGUUUUUCCUGGAGCUGAAAGCUGCGCUGCCUGGAGUUGGGGGAGAGGUUGACACAAACAAUCCCUUAGCCACCACAGCUGGUGUUUCACUGGGUUGUAGGUAAAUCAAGCCUAGUGGCUUCAAGCUCAGCACAGCACCAGGAAUGUCCUUGUGAAACCCUUGUGGCCUGAUUGCCUUUUUUUUUUUUUUUUUUUUGAGAUGGAGCCUCUCUCUGUUGCCCAGGCCUGAGUGCAGGGGCGCGAUCUCAGCUCACUGCCAGCUCCGCCUCCCGGGUUCACACCAUUCUCCUGCCUCAGCCUCCUGAGUAGCUGGGACUACAGGCGCCCGCCACCAAGCCCGGCUAAUUUUUUGUAUUUUUAGUAGAGACGGGGUUUCACCGUGUUAGCCAGGAUGGUCUUGAUCUCCUGACCUCGUGAUCCGCCCGCCUCGGCCUCCCAAAGUGCUGGGAUUACAGGCGUGAGCCGCUGCGCCCGGCCCUGAUUGCCUUUUAAAUUUAUCCUGGGCCCCAGGCCCCUGUAGUCAGCUGGUAGCAGAGCUAGCUGGGUCUCAAACUCCUACCACUGGGACACAGCGUUCCUCUCUGGCUGGGGUUGGUGUUUCCUUCAGAAUUCAGCUAAGUGAGCACUGGCUUGUGUUGUGUUCCGUUGUGACAAGGCAGCCCUGAGUUCCAAUGCAAAGUUCCACAGUCACUCUGUUCUCCCUCCCCCAGGCACACAGAUUCUCCCUCCACUUGCUGCUGCUGGAGGGUAAGGGAGAAGUGCUGUAUACAGGGCAGGCCUGCCUUUCCUAACCCCAUCGGUGCCUCUUUCCUUGAUAUGAUGUCAGAAUCAGAUUAGCUCUUUGGAACUGAGAGAUGAGAUGAGGCCUGGAAAACUUCCCCCAGUACAGUCAAGUUCCUGUUGACUAAUUCUGUGACCACCAGUGACAGUCUUUGAGUCCGUGAGGCAGAGUUGCGGCAGCACAGGCUUUGCUUGGAGUUGGAUGGUUCGCACCCUGCUUGGCAUGGUUUCUAAGAGACAUCCUCUGAGUGGAUGAGGGGAGAAUCCAGCAGGCCUCUAGUCACACUGGAGAAAAACAAGGAGAGAAAAAUCUAAACCCAGCAGAAGAGAAAGUUUAAGAAAGCGGUCGUCGCCAAUACCAAAAUUAGCUAUGAUAUUCAGGAAGAAAAAAAUGGAAACACGAUAACCACAGUCAAUAAAGACCAAGGCCACAUUCCAUUGACCAGAGCUCAGCCACGCGCCACACCUGGCUAAAGAGACUCUGGCUGAAGAAUUCCCUGAAUAUUUUAAUGUAGCUCUAGGUUAUAACACAGAACAACCACAAGGUGGCAGAAGAACUCCAUUCUUGUAAAUCUCUUAGUUGCUUCUUUAUUUCAUCUUCCCUAUUCCAUCUAAUGUUCCCUGAAUUUUACUAUUUUGUUGGUUUGAAAAUAUGUGUGACUUACGUCCUUUAAAGGAUUUGGUUCGUAAGGUUUUGAAUAGACUGGAAUAUAAAACAUUUAUAGAAAAGAAAAAUACCUACAGUAUGAUGUUAGUGAACUAUUAAUAAUCCAAUUAAAUAAAAUAUAUUUGCUUUGGAUUAAUACAUAUUUUGUUUUGAUGUUUGCUAAAUAAAACUAAGCAUUAGGAGGCCAAAUAGCCACAAUGAACAUUUUCAUAUUAUUUAAUAAGCCAGUUUCAAGGCAUACAUGCUAAAUUUGUUCUUAAGGAAAAGUUGAAUUUUUGCUUUCAUGAAAUUACAAACUCUAAGGCAAUUUUACACGUGUAAAUCCAAUGUGUUCUGAAGUUUAAAGUGUCAAAGGCUGUUGGAUUUAAACAGAUCUUGUAUGACUCUCUGUUUCAUCUCUUCAGAGGUUGAUAGUAAGCAACUUUGGC
RNAcentral lists this long non-coding RNA (3326 nucleotides) under Homo sapiens (human). RNAcentral's name for it is "HSALNT0403484". The record is from RNAcentral. Lineage: Eukaryota; Metazoa; Chordata; Mammalia; Primates; Hominidae.